Molecule: long non-coding RNA, 246 nt
Filed under: Physcomitrium patens
Lineage: Eukaryota; Viridiplantae; Streptophyta; Bryopsida; Funariales; Funariaceae
Description: long non-coding RNA (PPAT_LNC009774)
Source: RNAcentral
UUAAUAAUUUAAUUAAUAUUUAUUAUGGUUUUAAAAUAAUUAUAAUAGUUGAUUAAGAUUUAUUUAAGAUUUUUUUGGAAUUAUUUAGGAUUUUGUUAGGAUUUAGGAUUUGGUCUAGGAUUUAAUUAAGAUUUUAUUAGGAUUUGAUUAGGUUUGGUGUAGAAUUUAGGAUUUGAUUAGAAUUUGAUUAAAGUUUAAUUAGAAUUUAUUUAGAAUUAUAUUAAAUUUUAAUUAGGAUUUAUUUAU